This 74-nucleotide transfer RNA is filed under the name Marmota monax (woodchuck). RNAcentral describes it as "tRNA.Ala". The stretch from base 10 to 67 matches the Rfam family "tRNA", at positions 8 to 63 of the family's 71-position model. Rfam says of the family: Transfer RNA (tRNA) molecules are approximately 80 nucleotides in length. Their secondary structure includes four short double-helical elements and three loops (D, anti-codon, and T loops). Lineage: Eukaryota; Metazoa; Chordata; Mammalia; Rodentia; Sciuridae. The record is from RNAcentral.
CUGGGGAUAUAUCUUAGUUGGUAGAGUACUUGCCUUGCAUGCAAAAGGGCCUGGGUUCAAUCCCCAGCACAAGA